RNAcentral lists this long non-coding RNA (376 nucleotides) under Citrus sinensis (sweet orange). RNAcentral's name for it is "long non-coding RNA (CSIN_LNC000515)". The record is from RNAcentral. Lineage: Eukaryota; Viridiplantae; Streptophyta; Magnoliopsida; Sapindales; Rutaceae.
UGCUUGUGGCUUCGGAGGUGCAGACUGUUCUGCAAUUCAACCAGGAGCAAGUUGCUAUAACCCAAACACUAUCCGCGACCAUGCUUCUUACGCGUUCAAUGAUUACUAUCAUAAGAAUCCGGCUCCUACAAGCUGUGUCUUUGGAGGAGCAGCACAGCUUACAUACACGGACCCAAGUAAGCUUUGUUCAUCAGAAAGGAACAAUCAAUUAUAUGAGUUCUCCAGUACUUACCUUGACACGAUUCAAACACAUCUUGACUCCCUCCUUGAACUGUUGCAGGUAAUGGAAACUGUCACUACCCCUCAUCCACAGGAUCAACCAGGUAAAUAUUUCAUGGCCAUACUUUAAUGUCAAUUUCUCUUUGUAAGAAAAGAC